Molecule: ribosomal RNA, 988 nt
Filed under: human oral metagenome
Description: bacterial SSU rRNA
Rfam family: Bacterial small subunit ribosomal RNA
Source: RNAcentral
AGAGUUUGAUCCUGGCUCAGGACGAACGCUGGCGGCGUGCCUAAUACAUGCAAGUCGAGCGAGCUGAAUUCAAAGAUCCCUUCGGGGUGAUUUGUUGGACGCUAGCGGCGGAUGGGUGAGUAACACGUGGGCAAUCUGCCCUAAAGACUGGGAUACCACUUGGAAACAGGUGCUAAUACCGGAUAACAACAUGAAUCGCAUGAUUCAAGUUUGAAAGGCGGCGUAAGCUGUCACUUUAGGAUGAGCCCGCGGCGCAUUAGCUAGUUGGUGGGGUAAAGGCCUACCAAGGCAAUGAUGCGUAGCCGAGUUGAGAGACUGAUCGGCCACAUUGGGACUGAGACACGGCCCAAACUCCUACGGGAGGCAGCAGUAGGGAAUCUUCCACAAUGGACGCAAGUCUGAUGGAGCAACGCCGCGUGAGUGAAGAAGGUUUUCGGAUCGUAAAGCUCUGUUGUUGGUGAAGAAGGAUAGAGGCAGUAACUGGUCUUUAUUUGACGGUAAUCAACCAGAAAGUCACGGCUAACUACGUGCCAGCAGCCGCGGUAAUACGUAGGUGGCAAGCGUUGUCCGGAUUUAUUGGGCGUAAAGCGAGCGCAGGCGGAAGAAUAAGUCUGAUGUGAAAGCCCUCGGCUUAACCGAGGAACUGCAUCGGAAACUGUUUUUCUUGAGUGCAGAAGAGGAGAGUGGAACUCCAUGUGUAGCGGUGGAAUGCGUAGAUAUAUGGAAGAACACCAGUGGCGAAGGCGGCUCUCUGGUCUGCAACUGACGCUGAGGCUCGAAAGCAUGGGUAGCGAACAGGAUUAGAUACCCUGGUAGUCCAUGCCGUAAACGAUGAGCGCUAGGUGUUGGGGACUUUCCGGUCCUCAGUGCCGCAGCAAACGCAUUAAGCGCUCCGCCUGGGGAGUACGACCGCAAGGUUGAAACUCAAAGGAAUUGACGGGGGCCCGCACAAGCGGUGGAGCAUGUGGUUUAAUUCGAAGCAACGCGA